RNAcentral lists this ribosomal RNA (443 nucleotides) under uncultured bacterium. RNAcentral's name for it is "partial 16S ribosomal RNA". It matches the Rfam family "Bacterial small subunit ribosomal RNA", at positions 338 to 795 of the family's 1533-position model. The record is from RNAcentral.
CCUACGGGAGGCAGCAGUGGGGAAUAUUGCACAAUGGAGGGAACUCUGAUGCAGCGACGCCGCGUGAGUGAAGAAGUAUUUCGGUAUGUAAAGCUCUAUCAGCAGGGAAGAAAGAAAUGACGGUACCUGAGUAAGAAGCCCCGGCUAACUACGUGCCAGCAGCCGCGGUAAUACGUAGGGGGCAAGCGUUAUCCGGAAUUACUGGGUGUAAAGGGAGCGUAGACGGUAAUGCAAGUCUGGAGUGAAAGGCGGGGGCGCAACCCCCGGACUGCUCUGGAAACUGUGUAACUGGAGUGCAGGAGAGGCAGGCGGAAUUCCUGGUGUAGCGGUGAAAUGCGUAGAUAUUAGGAGGAACACCAGUGGCGAAGGCGGCCUGCUGGACUGUAACUGACGUUGAGGCUCGAAAGCGUGGGGAGCAAACAGGAUUAGAUACCCGUGUAGUC